UAACAGGAAAUUUAAGGGCGUACGGUGGAUGCCUAGACUUUAAGAAGCGAUGAAGGACGUAGCAAAGCUGCGAUAAGCUUCGGGGAGGUGCCUAGCAACCUUU
RNAcentral lists this ribosomal RNA (103 nucleotides) under Candidatus Woesebacteria bacterium. RNAcentral describes it as "partial 23S ribosomal RNA". It matches the Rfam family "Bacterial large subunit ribosomal RNA", at positions 1 to 100 of the family's 2925-position model. Lineage: Bacteria; Candidatus Woeseibacteriota. The record is from RNAcentral.